UCGUGGGUUCGAAUCCCAGUCCGAUCGGGUUUUUUAGCUUCUGGAAACGGGUUGGGGGCUCGAAAGGGUGGUUGGGCUUCGGAUCCCGACUGGGCCCUUAUUCACGACGCGAUGUGAAACGGAUUUCAGUGUGAAUGUGACUUGAUUCACGGAUCUCAGACGGGAACGCAAACUUUCGUAUACGUAUCCCGAUAUUCACCUGUGAAUCGACUUCGUUGACGGAAGUCACAGGUGAACAGGGAAUUUCACUCACACGUCCCAAAACAUUGCGGUGGUAAAAAAUAGUCAAUGAUCCAAAAAUCAUUUCAAUGAUCAAAAUGAGUGCAAAUGACAAGUCAGGAAAAGUUAAGAAAGAGGUCAAAGUGGAAGGUGAUAACAAACGGGCCGAUAAUAUUAAUGAGCGACAAAAAGAAAUGUUAUUAGAUUUAGCUGCCGAGAAUCCAGAAAUAAUCAGCGGAAAAUUCAAAACUGAUAAAGUCACAAAAGAAAAUGUCAACAAAAAAUGGGACUUCUCCGUUCUCAAUGCAGUCCCUGGUGGUGCACAGAAGACUAGAGAUCAGUGGAAAAGGAAGGGUUGGACAAUCAUGAGAAGGUUAUCUUGGAGGAGGUCAACAAUGAAAACUCAGUGGAAAUCCAAACAGCCGAUCCUACUUUCGAUGAAACGUUGGAUACCGACCCCUCGAUACCAAACAAAGAAUCAUCCAUUCCAGGAAUUGAUCUUGUGCAACUGGAGACAAAGUUCACAAGUCCAAAACAUGAUGAUUCACUGCUGAAGACUAUCUCUUCAGUCCCGAAAGUCGAACACUCACUGCCAGAGACAGGGUCCCAACCAUUAUAGGGACUCAACUGUUAGAAUCGACGAAUAAUGACCCUGCCCUCGGGGGUGCGAAAAGAAAAGCCUCUCCACACCUUGUCCCUGAUUCCUACCAAAGACGCGAAAACCUAGCCUUUCCCAGUAAGAAGCGAUCUAGGGCAGUUCAGCGACAGGACGCAUCCCUAAGAAACUCCGAGAAUAUCAUCACUAUUUCGAAUAAAGAUUUGGAAGAGAAAAAGAGCUAUAAUGAUGAAAAACUGUUUAUCCUUGUAAGAGAGGCCCGGGGCAAGAUCUAUCAAACGCACAUUGUGAGAAACCUUAGCAACAAGCUCACUUAUUAUCCAUGGUGAUUGUCCUCAAAUUUUCUUGUUCUCUUUUUUUAUGAUGCGUUUUUUUCUUUUUACUAUGAUCGAUUAUUUGUCCACUAGCCCAGUGAUAAUCCAGCAUCAGAGAAUUUUUAGAUUUUUAUUAAUUGAUUAUGUACGUCGGAGGAAGAUGGAUGCAAGGAAAAAUAAUAAGAGAAUUUGAUAGAAAAAUCCAAGCAAUCCGCUAAACAAAUUCUAUUGCAUUUCUAUUUAGUUUUUUUCCAGUUUUUGGUGAUGUAAUUGAAAUAUUCCGCAGCUUUCAGCUUUUAGCUUGUUUUCAAUAGAAAUAUUCAAUGAAAAAUUUUUCAUAGAAAAUAUUAAUAGUAGUCGAUUUUCUGUAAAACCCAUCCUGUUGAAAUAUUCUUAAUAGAAAUUUCUCAAUACAAGUUUCCAAAGUUCUUUCAUUCGAUUUUAUUCAAUAUAAAAGAAUAGGAUGCUCGGACUGAUGUAAAAAUAUGAAGAAAUGAUUUUUUAAGUAUCAUUCACAAGUUGUAUUUCUGAUAUUGGAAAAAAAAAGAAUAAAGUUACCAAAUACAUCUGAA
Long non-coding RNA from Diachasma alloeum, 1721 nucleotides. RefSeq lists it as uncharacterized. The record is from RefSeq and is a predicted model, not a curated record. NCBI's taxonomy places the organism in Eukaryota, Metazoa, Arthropoda, Insecta, Hymenoptera, Braconidae. The transcript has 3 exons.